This is a long non-coding RNA of Zingiber officinale, 520 nucleotides long. RefSeq lists it as uncharacterized. The record is from RefSeq and is a predicted model, not a curated record. The transcript is spliced from 2 exons. Lineage: Eukaryota; Viridiplantae; Streptophyta; Magnoliopsida; Zingiberales; Zingiberaceae.
UAAAAUCCAUCGAUUCCUUUCUUCACCCGCCGCAAAUGUUCGGAACCCGUGAAUCUAAUUCCAUCGCUAUAAAUUCUUGGGCGUUUUAUAUACGGAGCAUGUCCAGGAUCCGCCUCCGCCUCCUUCGUUGAUUCAUGGUUCGAUGGCCCUCAGGGAUUUCGACUUCUGCUCGAGAUUUUCUGGCUGAUGAUGAGUGAUCUUUAAGAUCUUAGCGGAUUUCAGUGAGGCUUUCUGGUCUAUGAUCUUACCACUGUUGUUACACCCUGCUUACUCUCUUUCACAGCAAAAUGAUUGCUUUCUACCCUGUUGGGGUUCAGAUCAAUUUUGGUGCAAUGGUUGAUUUUCUCUUUACUGAUUCAUGGAUUUUCUAUGUGUUUUAUGCUUUAUUCGGCAAAUGAGGGAUCGGAUGUAGCGAUGAUGAGUUUAUAGUUUGGUGUGGGCAGUGGACAAUGGUGAUAGUAUAUUGUUUGUUAUCUCCGUGAGCCUUUCUCACCAUUAUUACAACUUUUCCUUCCACUGA